Molecule: long non-coding RNA, 262 nt
Organism: Oncorhynchus tshawytscha (Chinook salmon)
Lineage: Eukaryota; Metazoa; Chordata; Actinopteri; Salmoniformes; Salmonidae
Exons: 3
Source: RefSeq, a predicted model, not a curated record
ACUCCAUAAAACAUUGAGAAGCAGCGAGUGACGAGUCCAGUUCCAUUUAACCAGGGAGAUGUGAGGUCAAACUAGACCUGGAGGGCUGACAGACACUGUCCUGUUCCCCUGUGGCCCCCUAUUCCCCUGUGAGGUCAAACUAGACCUGGAGGGCUGACAGACACUGUCCUGUUCCCCUGUGGCCCCCUAUUCCCCGUGGGCCUCCUAUUCCCCUGUGAGGUCAAACUAGACCUGGAGGGCUGACAGACACUGUCCUGUUCCC